UAAGCAUAUCAAUAAGCGGAGGAAAAGAAACUAACAAGGAUUCCCCUAGUAACUGCGAGUGAAGCGGGAAAAGCUCAAAUUUGAAAUCUGGCAGUUCUUGAACUGUCCGAGUUGUAAUCUAGAGAAGUGUUACCUGUGCUGGACCGUGUACAAGUCUUCUGGAAUGAAGCAUCACAGAGGGUGAGAAUCCCGUCUUUGACAUGGACUGCCUGCAUGUUAUGGUAUGCUCUCAAAGAGUCGAGUUGUUUGGGAAUGCAGCUCAAAAUGGGUGGUAAAUGCCAUCUAAAGCUAAAUAUUGGCGAGAGACCGAUAGCGAACAAGUACCGUGAGGGAAAGAUGAAAAGUACUUUGGAAAGAGAGUUAAACAGUACGUGAAAUUGCUGAAAGGGAAACGCUUGAAGUCAGUCACGUUGGCUAGAAAUCAGCCUUGCUUUUGCUUGGUGUACUUUCUGGUUGAUGGGUCAGCAUCAAUUUUGACCACUGGAUAAAGUCGUUGGGAAUGUGGCAUCUUAGGAUGUGUUAUAGCCCAUUGUCGCAUACGGUGGUUGGGAUUGAGGAACUCAGCACGCCCACAAUGGCCGGGUUUCGACCACGUUCGUGCUUAGGAUGCUGGCAUAAUGGCUUUAAUCGACCCGUCUUGAAACACGGACCAAGGAGUCUAACAUGCCUGCGAG
RNAcentral lists this ribosomal RNA (674 nucleotides) under Inocybe luteifolia. Its description in RNAcentral is "eukaryotic LSU rRNA". It matches the Rfam family "Eukaryotic large subunit ribosomal RNA", at positions 35 to 690 of the family's 3401-position model. The record is from RNAcentral. Lineage: Eukaryota; Fungi; Basidiomycota; Agaricomycetes; Agaricales; Inocybaceae.